UACGAAGGGGGCUAGCGUUGUUCGGAAUUACUGGGCGUAAAGCGCGCGCAGGCGGUUUUCAAGUCAGUGGUGAAAGCCCGGAGCUCAACUCCGGAACUGCCAUUGAAACUGUAAAACUUGAGGACGAGAGAGGUGAGUGGAAUUCCCAGUGUAGAGGUGAAAUUCGUAGAUAUUGGGAAGAACACCGGUGGCGAAGGCGGCUCACUGGCUCGUUUCUGACGCUCAGGCGCGACAGCGUGGGGAUCAAACAGG
This 252-nucleotide ribosomal RNA is filed under the name uncultured bacterium. RNAcentral describes it as "partial 16S ribosomal RNA". It matches the Rfam family "Bacterial small subunit ribosomal RNA", at positions 524 to 776 of the family's 1533-position model. The record is from RNAcentral.